This is a non-coding RNA of Cicer arietinum (chickpea), 893 nucleotides long. Lineage: Eukaryota; Viridiplantae; Streptophyta; Magnoliopsida; Fabales; Fabaceae. The record is from RefSeq and is a predicted model, not a curated record.
AUUCUUUCUUAAAUUUAUUUACAUAUCAUAAUUGUUUUAUUGUUUUCCAUGUGCAGAUGCAACAAUAUUCAUGUUGAAUACAACUAUUAAAGAUUUAUUGAGCACCAAUGUUCAUAGUGUGUUCAUAGUAUUGUACUGUUUUAUGUUUAUUUUAAUAAAAAUGUUUAUUUGGUAUUGUAAUAAAAUAUUUAUUUAUGCUUAUGAUUGUGGAACUCUAAACUAGGUUGGUAGAUAAUUCUAAAUAGAAAAUCCUUUAAUUUUUUCUUAUGAUUGUGGAACUCUAAAUAAGGCAAAAUCCUUUAAUUUUUGGACUUCAGCAUUGCUGGAAGAACGAUAUGCAUUUAGGAUGUGUACUUUAAGAUCUCAUAAUCUAUUCUCAGAUCUCAUCUCGAUUAACCUUUUGUUGUUUUAUUUCCCUCUCUAUCUCAUCUCACAGUCGUAAAUGGAGAGGUUGAGAAUAAUAGAUAUGAAAGAAAACUCGAAGUCACUAAUAAAAAGUAUUCUGUAAAAGGUUAUGAUUUUUGUUAGGAUUUUUUUUUUUAAUUUAUGUUCGACAUUUCUAUUUCUUUCUUAACCUGUGAUUUGACUAACAUGUGUUUUCAUCUUGUGAAACCAUGGAUUGUACCAUACUUUCUUUGUUGGAAGCUCGAAGUUAGAAGAUCUCAGAUAAAAAGAACAAGAUGCAACAAUUUUCAUGUUGAAUACAACUAUGAAAGAAUUAUUGAGCACCAAUGUUCAUAGUAUGUUCAUAGUAUUGUAUUGUUUUAUGUUUAUUUUAAUAAAAAUGUUUAUUUGGUAUUGUAAUAAACUAUAUUUAUUUAUGCUUAUGAUUGUGGAACUCUAAACUAGGUUGGUAGAUAAUUCUAAAUAGAAAAUCCUUUAAUUUUUGCUUA